GAAACUAAAUCCAGAAUUAAGUAGCAAUACACCUAAAGCACUCAGUCGAGCAGCAGCAAAGAGGCCCUGUACUGGAACUUGAAAUAAUGUUGGAAAAGAAAUGAGGUCAAAGGUCUGCUAGUCUAUCAUGCUGACUUGCAUCUGGAGUUCCCAUGAGCAUCAUGGGCAUCUGAAAGGAUUUUCUAACUUUACACUACUGUCUGCUCCCACUUCCUGAGAUUUGGAUGAAAGUACCAUGCCAAAUGGGGAAAGGCUAGAAUGCUGGGAAGGCCCUGCUCCUAACAAAAGGAAUGAAUUGGUGCUCUCUGCUUGGAACCAUGUAAGAAGACGUGGCCCUUUAACCCACUUCCGGAAAUCUAGCUCAUAGACAUUAAAGCCAGUAUACAAGAGUACAUGAAUGAAGAUGCUUACCACAGCAAUAUUUAGAAACACAAGGAAACUGGAAUUAAUCCAAAUAUACAUCAAUAGGAAAAGGAUGGAAUAAAGUUUAAUAUACUAAUACUGUAAAAUAAUAGGCUAUAAAAAAGAGUUUUAUCUGUUUCAAUCAGGAAAGAUUUUCAUAAUAUGUUCACUGAGAAAAGAAAACUGCGUAAUAAUAUACUUAAUGUGACCAUGUUUUAUGAAAGGAACAAUACUAUCACCACAAAUCAGUAUAUGUAAUAUGAAUAUAGGCAUAGAUAAAAAACAUAGGAAAACACACAAAAAAUUUUUAACUAAUUCUAGUGUCCUUAAAAGAGAAUUAGAAAGAUGUGUAUUCUUUACAGAUAUGUUUUCUUCAUACUGUUCUAUGUUGUUUAAAGUGUUACUUUUGAAAUAAAAAGCACAUACUUUUUUUUAAGAUUGAAUUUGUCUGCCUCAGGACAUUUGUGAAUGGUGAGCUAAUUCAAUCUCAAGCAAUUGUUUAGCCCCUUAUUUACUUGGUGUCAGUUUUAGAAAUUGUACAGUAAAACAAUGGUAGCACAUACUUAUAUGCGUCUCCUAAAUAAAUAUGCAGUACCAUUCAUAAAAGCAGUUCUUAAUUGUGACCAGGUUAAACUCUUUCAAGCCAUUUGCUUUCUGAGCUCAAAUAAGAAUAUCCACAGUAUACUAAUGCAACUGGGAAAUUAAAUCUCAGCAACAGCUGUGAUUGGGUAAUUGAUUGCAGAGUCAACUGAUCCACAGAUUAUUUAUUAAUACUAUAAAUGGAAAAAUGUGUAGGAAAGUUACCUUUUAAGGGAAGGUACCAAAAUGUGAAACAUAGUAUUGCUUACGUAAAGAAAACUGUAUGAAGAAAACCAGAUUGGAAAAAUAAUAUACAUACAAAGAGAUUUGUUAAUAUCAGUUUUGUAAUAAAUUACAUUUUGGUUUAAAAUACACACAUUUAUAUCUGUUUUUACCUGGUGAAAUGUGAUGUUAUUUAAUUCUAAAAUCUCUGCUACUUCUA
Long non-coding RNA from Pan troglodytes (chimpanzee), 1423 nucleotides. RefSeq lists it as uncharacterized. The transcript has 3 exons. The record is from RefSeq and is a predicted model, not a curated record. NCBI's taxonomy places the organism in Eukaryota, Metazoa, Chordata, Mammalia, Primates, Hominidae.